RNAcentral lists this long non-coding RNA (1124 nucleotides) under Naja naja (Indian cobra). Its description in RNAcentral is "lncRNA (ENSNNAG00000011911.1)". The record is from RNAcentral. Lineage: Eukaryota; Metazoa; Chordata; Lepidosauria; Squamata; Elapidae.
UUAGGACUUCAUAAGGCAGCAACUAGCACUUGCAAUUAGAUUCAUAAGCGUAACACUUUGAAAUGGUCAGUUGUCAGCCAGGCCCCCAUAUUGUGGAAUAUCUGCAGUCUCCAAAUCAGCUUCCAGGAGACACCCAUGUAGAAGGCUUAUACAUCACAGUCUCUGGUAAAAGCUUCCCAGUCCAAUUAGAGCAAUGAAGGGUGCACCAGACCAAACUGGGAUCAGGCUUUCUUGGUCUUUUAUCUGCUGCUGUGAGUCUGGGAAAAUUCCCAAAUCAUGGACCUCUGCCUUCAACAUAGCAACAGAAGUGAUGAAUGAGUAUGGGAACUGUAUUUUUUACUAGUUUCGCGCUGCUCAUACAGGCCAUAUUGGAUGCAUCAACUACACAUGUGUUGCUGGGGAUACAGAACAAGAUGAUGGAAUAAAAUCAUUAAAAAGUUAUACUUUUAUGAUUUUGAGAAGUACACCACAUGGAAAGGGUGGUACAUUAAUGCAAAUGAAGUAGCAAUAGCACUUAGACUUAUAUACUGCUUUAUAGUGCUUUACAGCCCUCUAAGUGUUUUACAAAUUCAGCAUAUUGGCCCCCACCAAUUUGGGUCUUCAUUUUACCCACCUUGGAAGGAUGGAAGGCUGAGUCAACCUUGAGCCUGGUGAGAUUUGAUCUGCCAAAUUGCAGGCAGCUGGCAAGCAGCAGAAUUAGCCUGUACUACUGCACUAUAACCGCUCUAGCCACUGAGGCUCAAGUAUUCUGUGGUCUGAUGCCUUCAAUGUCUGGCAGUGCUUGAAUUACAUGGAUGACAAAAUCCUUAGCUAUUUAAGCAGAAUAUAAUAGAACCAUAAUUUGACUACAACUGGAAUCGGGGUAGUACUGUAAUUUCCUAAGCCUUUCUAUCUAUACUCAAAUCAGCCCAAUACAAGCAUUCAUGUUUGAGUUAAACGUUUUGUCUUAUAGUUACACCUAUAGAAUAUUACUCUAUAUUAAUACACAUUUCUGGGAACCAUUGAAAACUAGUCUGGGUUUCCUGAGUAGCCCACAUCAUCAUCUCCAUAAUUACUCUUUGGAUUCAUACUACAAAUCUUGCAUUAGUACCACCAAAGGAUGGAGAACGUUGCAUGAAAAUUAA